GACGAACGCUGGCGGCGUGCUUAACACAUGCAAGUCGAACGGAAAGGCCCUGCUUGCCGGGUGCUCGAGUGGCGAACGGGUGAGUAACACGUGGGUGAUCUGCCCCUUAUUUUGGGAUAAGCCUGGGAAACUGGGUCUAAUACUGGAUAGGACCAUGCUGUAGGUGGUGUGGUGGAAAGAUUAGUUUCGGUAAGGGAUGAGCUCGCGGCCUAUCAGCUUGUUGGUGGGGUAAUGGCCUACCAAGGCGUCGACGGGUAGCCGGCCUGAGAGGGUGGACGGCCACAUUGGGACUGAGAUACGGCCCAGACUCCUACGGGAGGCAGCAGUGGGGAAUAUUGCACAAUGGGCGCAAGCCUGAUGCAGCGACGCCGCGUGGGGGAUGACGGCCUUCGGGUUGUAAACUCCUUUCAGCCAUGACGAAGCCCUUGUGGUGACGGUAGUGGUAGAAGAAGCACCGGCUAACUACGU
Molecule: ribosomal RNA, 468 nt
Filed under: uncultured bacterium
Lineage: Bacteria
Description: partial 16S ribosomal RNA
Rfam family: Bacterial small subunit ribosomal RNA
Source: RNAcentral